Molecule: ribosomal RNA, 254 nt
Filed under: uncultured bacterium
Lineage: Bacteria
Description: partial 16S ribosomal RNA
Rfam family: Bacterial small subunit ribosomal RNA
Source: RNAcentral
UACGGGGGGGGGCAAGCGUUGUUCGGAAUUACUGGGCGUAAAGGGCUCGUAGGCGGCCAACUAAGUCAGCCGUGAAAUCCCUCGGCUUAACCGGGGAACUGCGUCUGAUACUGGAUGGCUUGAGUUUGGGAGAGGGAUGCGGAAUUCCAGGUGUAGCGGUGAAAUGCGUAGAUAUCUGGAGGAACACCGGUGGCGAAGGCGACAUCCUGGACCAACACUGACGCUGAGGAGCGAAAGCCAGGGGAGCAAACGGG